GAUGAACGCUGGCGGCGUGCCUAAUACAUGCAAGUCGAGCGAACAGACGAGGAGCUUGCUCCUCUGACGUUAGCGGCGGACGGGUGAGUAACAAGUGGAUAACCUACCUAUAAGACUGGGAUAACUUCGGGAAACCGGAGCUAAUACCGGAUAAUAUAUUGAACCGCAUGGUUCAAUAGUGAAAGACGGUUUUGCUAUCACUUAUAGAUCGAUCCGCGCCGCAUUAGCUAGUUGGUAAGGUAACGGCUUACCAAGGCAACGAUGCGUAGCCGACCUGAGAGGGUGAUCGGCCACACUGGAACUGAGACACGGUCCAGACUCCUACGGGAGGCAGCAGUAGGGAAUCUUCCGCAAUGGGCGAAAGCCUGACGGAGCAACGCCGCGUGAGUGAUGAAGGUCUUCGGAUCGUAAAACUCUGUUAUUAGGGAAGAACAAAUGUGUAAGUAACUAUGCACGUCUUGACGGUACCUAAUCAGAAAGCCACGGCUAACUACGUG
Molecule: ribosomal RNA, 497 nt
Filed under: uncultured bacterium
Lineage: Bacteria
Description: partial 16S ribosomal RNA
Rfam family: Bacterial small subunit ribosomal RNA
Source: RNAcentral